AGAGUUUGAUCCUGGCUCAGGAUGAACGCUGACAGAAUGCUUAACACAUGCAAGUCUACUUGAAUUCACUUCGGUGAUAGUAAGGUGGCGGACGGGUGAGUAACACGUAAAGAACUUGCCUUACAGUUUGGGACAACUAUUGGAAACGAUAGCUAAUACCGGAUAUUAUGAAUUUUCCGCAUGGAAGAUUUAUGAAAGCUAUAUGCGCUGUGAGAGAGCUUUGCGCCCCAUUAGCUAGUUGGUGAGGUAACAGCUCACCAAGGCAACGAUGGGUAGCCGGCCUGAGAGGGUGAACGGCCACAAGGGGACUGAGACACGGCCCUUACUCCUACGGGAGGCAGCAGUGGGGAAUAUUGGACAAUGGACCAAAAGUCUGAUCCAGCAAUUCUGUGUGCACGAUGACGGUCUUCGGAUUGUAAAGUGCUUUCAGUUGGGAAGAAAGAAAUGACGGUACCAACAGAAGAAGCGACGGCUAAAUACGUGCCAGCAGCCGCGGUAA
This 499-nucleotide ribosomal RNA is filed under the name uncultured bacterium. Its description in RNAcentral is "bacterial SSU rRNA". It matches the Rfam family "Bacterial small subunit ribosomal RNA", at positions 8 to 523 of the family's 1533-position model. The record is from RNAcentral.